RNAcentral lists this ribosomal RNA (1512 nucleotides) under mouse gut metagenome. Its description in RNAcentral is "bacterial SSU rRNA". It matches the Rfam family "Bacterial small subunit ribosomal RNA". The record is from RNAcentral.
AGAGUUUGAUCCUGGCUCAGGAUGAACGCUGGCGGCGUGCUUAACACAUGCAAGUCGAGCGGAGGUUUAAAGCGGAAGUUUUCGGAUGGAAGCAAUAAACUUUAGCGGCGGACGGGUGAGUAACGCGUGGGUAACCUGCCUCAUACAGGGGGAUAACAGUUAGAAAUGACUGCUAAAACCGCAUAAGCGCACAUUGUCGAGUGACAGAGUGUGAAAAACUCCGGUGGUAUGAGAUGGACCCGCGUCUGAUUAGCUAGUUGGUGAGGUAACGGCCCACCAAGGCGACGAUCAGUAGCCGGCCUGAGAGGGCGACCGGCCACAUUGGGACUGAGACACGGCCCAAACUCCUACGGGAGGCAGCAGUGGGGAAUAUUGCACAAUGGGGGAAACCCUGAUGCAGCGACGCCGCGUGAGUGAAGAAGUAUUUCGGUAUGUAAAGCUCUAUCAGCAGGGAAGAAGAAAGACGGUACCUGACUAAGAAGCCCCGGCUAACUACGUGCCAGCAGCCGCGGUAAUACGUAGGGGGCAAGCGUUAUCCGGAUUUACUGGGUGUAAAGGGAGCGUAGACGGCUGUGCAAGUCUGAAGUGAAAGCCCAGGGCUCAACCCUGGGACUGCUUUGGAAACUGUGAAGCUAGAGUGCUGGAGAGGUAAGUGGAAUUCCUAGUGUAGCGGUGAAAUGCGUAGAUAUUAGGAGGAACACCAGUGGCGAAGGCGGCUUACUGGACAGUAACUGACGUUGAGGCUCGAAAGCGUGGGGAGCAAACAGGAUUAGAUACCCUGGUAGUCCACGCGGUAAACGAUGAAUACUAGGUGUUGGAGAGCAAAGCUUUUCGGUGCCGUCGCAAACGCAAUAAGUAUUCCACCUGGGGAGUACGUUCGCAAGAAUGAAACUCAAAGGAAUUGACGGGGACCCGCACAAGCGGUGGAGCAUGUGGUUUAAUUCGAAGCAACGCGAAGAACCUUACCAAGUCUUGACAUCGGAAUGACGCAGGAGUAACGUCCUGUUUCCCUCGGGACAUUGGAGACAGGUGGUGCAUGGUUGUCGUCAGCUCGUGUCGUGAGAUGUUGGGUUAAGUCCCGCAACGAGCGCAACCCUUAUCCCCAGUAGCCAGCACGUAGAGGUGGGCACUCUGUGGAGACUGCCAGGGACAACCUGGAGGAAGGUGGGGAUGACGUCAAAUCAUCAUGCCCCUUAUGAUUUGGGCUACACACGUGCUACAAUGGCGUGAACAGAGGGAGGCGAAGGGGCGACCUGGAGCAAACCCCAAAAAUAACGUCCCAGUUCGGACUGCGGCCUGCAACCCGGCCGCACGAAGCUGGAAUCGCUAGUAAUCGCGGAUCAGAAUGCCGCGGUGAAUACGUUCCCGGGUCUUGUACACACCGCCCGUCACACCAUGGGAGUCAGCAACGCCCGAAGUCAGUGACCCAACCGAGAGGAGGGAGCUGCCGAAGGCGGGGCAGGUAACUGGGGUGAAGUCGUAACAAGGUAGCCGUAUCGGAAGGUGCGGCUG